CAUGGCCUUUUGUUAUUUAUAUAAGGUCUAACCUGCCCAAUGAUGAUAAAUUUAAUGGCCGCGGUAUUUUGACCGUGCAAAGGUAGCAUAAUCAUUAGUUUUUUAAUUGAAAGCUGGAAUGAAAGGUUGAAUGAGAAAAUAACUGUCUUUAUUAUAUUUAAUUAGAAUUUUAUUUUUAAGUUAAAAAGCUUAAAUUUAAUUUAAAGACGAGAAGACCCUUUAGAGUUUUAUAAAGAAUUUGUUUUUGAUUUUUUAGAAUUAAUUAUAAUGAGGCAAUGUUUUAUUUGGUUGGGGCGAUUAAAAAAUUUAAUAAACUUUUUUUCUUAUUUUACAUUAUUUAUGAAUACUUGAUCCUUAAUUUAAGAUUAUAAGAUUAAAUUACCUAAGGGAUAACAGCGUUAUUUUUUUUGAGAGUUUCUAUCGAAAAAAAAGAUUGCGACCUCGAUGUUGGAUUAAAAUUAAAUUAUGGUGUAGAGGCUAUAAC
Molecule: ribosomal RNA, 484 nt
Filed under: Brassicogethes aeneus
Lineage: Eukaryota; Metazoa; Arthropoda; Insecta; Coleoptera; Nitidulidae
Description: partial large subunit ribosomal RNA
Rfam family: Bacterial large subunit ribosomal RNA
Source: RNAcentral